GAACCUUGGGCCCUGUUAAUAACUUACACAGAAUCUUCAGUGUAUGUAUGGCCAAAUGGUAUUUGUAUUCUUGAAUGCCACGCUGCUGGGUACAUUCUCAAUAUCUGACAGCACAGAGUCUAAAACAAACAAUCUAAAGGAGAAUUUCAUUGUGUAGGUAAUUUCAGAGCAUCCUUGAGGUCAAGAAAUAAAAUGUUGGCCAGAUAGCUCAGAGGUCAAGAUCUGGGUAUGUGUUUUUCACUGCCUCCAGCUACAACUACUCCUGGUGUUCAGAAAGGCUUAACAAGAAUCAGGACUAUUUCUGAGUGUUUAUCAGCAGCUGCCAGAAUUUGUGUCUCCAGGUGUCCAGAAAACUCUGGAAGAAGACUGGCCCCUGGAAGAAAUGAUCAGUAGCCCAAGGACUUCUGGUCACAGCGCUGUGCAGAGAUCUUCCAGUGUUCUUCAGAAGGCCAUCCUGUCUCCAUGAGUCAUAACCAGGGCUGUUGUUCCCAGUACAUCAGUGAGCAUCAGGAAAAUAUUAAAUGCUCCUUAACUGGUUAGUGAAUAGGCACUGAUCUGAGCUCUCUGAGUGCCCUUCCACCUCUCCAGACACCCUGGCUGCAGGAAUCCCUGGUGAGCACUAAAGCGGAACAGCCUUUGAACCAGCUAAGUCUUCCGCUGCCUGAGGUCGUCCUGCAUUUCCCCCCACCCCAUCCACCUCCCACCAUUGCUGCCAGAGCUAUCAGACCCAACCCUCCUGAAAGAGGGACUGUCAUCUUGCAGGGAAACAAGCCCAGUACCCACCUGACCACCCCAAGGCUGCAGUGUCCUGCUUGCCUUGCCUUUUGCAUGGCCUCUUUGGGCCCAUAGUGUUGAAGUAUUUUGACUAUCCUCCUAGUCACAGUCACACUCUCCUGCCCCUACAUCUCUGCC
Molecule: long non-coding RNA, 912 nt
Filed under: Bos indicus x Bos taurus (hybrid cattle)
Lineage: Eukaryota; Metazoa; Chordata; Mammalia; Artiodactyla; Bovidae
Description: lncRNA (ENSBIXG00005000899.1)
Source: RNAcentral